UUGUAUAAUGGGUCAGCGACUUAUAUUCAGUGGCAAGGUUAACCAUCUAGGGGAGCCGUAGCGAAAGCGAGUGUUAACUGCGCGACUCAGUCGCUGGAUAUAGACCCGAAACCAGGUGAUCUAGCCAUGGGCAGGUUGAAGAUUGAGUAACAUCAAUUGGAGGACCGAACCGACUAAUGUUGAAAAAUUAGCGGAUGACUUGUGGCUAGGGGUGAAAG
This 218-nucleotide ribosomal RNA is filed under the name Vibrio parahaemolyticus. Its description in RNAcentral is "partial 23S ribosomal RNA". It matches the Rfam family "Bacterial large subunit ribosomal RNA", at positions 608 to 827 of the family's 2925-position model. The record is from RNAcentral. Lineage: Bacteria; Pseudomonadati; Pseudomonadota; Gammaproteobacteria; Vibrionales; Vibrionaceae.